RNAcentral lists this long non-coding RNA (831 nucleotides) under Sorghum bicolor (sorghum). RNAcentral's name for it is "long non-coding RNA (SBIC_LNC011934)". Lineage: Eukaryota; Viridiplantae; Streptophyta; Magnoliopsida; Poales; Poaceae. The record is from RNAcentral.
GGCUCAUCCACGAGAGCAUCAGGCUCGACCCCGGCACCGUUAUUGCCUUCUUUUCUCCAUUCUAUGCUAGCCCCUCGACCUCAUCCUCGGUAAUGGCCACAGACUCCACCUCCAGGUAGUUGGCGCCGGCCACCACAUAGAGGCUCCUUUCCUUUUCUUGCUCACGUGUUUAACUCCCAGGAAUCAAUUCUUUCUAUUUUUCUCCGGGUGGCGUUUGAUUAGGUGCGCAUCAGGGACUCGCAGGAUCGAAAAAAAAAAGCUAUAAUUUUACAUCAGAAAUUCUUUCUUAUUCUUUAAUUUUCUUUUACACCUUUCCACUUCAGGUUUAUAUAUUCUAUCUCUUUUGUACAUUUACAUCAGAAAUCCUUACUUAUUUUUUAUUUCUUUUUACACCCUUCCACCUCCUAAGCAGAGCUAUAAUUUUACAUCAGAAAUCCUUUCUUAUUCUUUAAUUCUUUUACACCCUUCCAACUUCACAUUUAUAUAUUAUUUCUCUGUUGUACAUUUGCAUCAGAAAUCCUUACUUAUUCUUUAUUUAUUUUUAUAACCUUCCACCUCCUAAGCACAGGUUGUGGGAUCGCACGGGGACGUGGAGGCGACCCAAAAAAUUAUUUUGUAUCAUCUGAUGAUCUUACUUACUUUUGUUCUUUUUAGUUAUAUAUAUAUAGGAGAAUAUGUGGUUUUAUGUUUAGUAAUAAAAAUAUUUAAUAUAAACAAGUUCCACCAAAACAAGAAUACCAUAAAUAUAUCGGUUGUACAGUCCCCUCUCGUUUCAUUUCAGAAGCGGAAAAAAGCUGCUACUUUACUAGCAAAUGAUUGUACCUGUUCAUA